Molecule: ribosomal RNA, 440 nt
Filed under: uncultured bacterium
Lineage: Bacteria
Description: bacterial SSU rRNA
Rfam family: Bacterial small subunit ribosomal RNA
Source: RNAcentral
GAUGAACGCUGGCGGCGUGCCUAAUACAUGCAAGUCGAACGCACAGCGAAAGGUGCUUGCACCUUUCAAGUGAGUGGCGAACGGGUGAGUAACACGUGGAUAACCUACCUCAAGGUUGGGGAUAACAUUUGGAAACAGAUGCUAAUACCGAAUAAAACUUCGUAUCGCAUGAUACGAGGUUAAAAAGGCGCUACGGCGUCACCUAGAGAUGGAUCCGCGGUGCAUUAGUUAGUUGGUGGGUAAAGGCUACCAAGACAAUGAUGCAUAGCCGAGUUGAGAGACUGAUCGGCCACAUUGGGACUGAGACACGGCCCAAACUCCUACGGGAGGCUGCAGUAGGGAAUCUUCCACAAUGGGCGAAAGCCUGAUGGAGCAACGACCGCGUGUGUGAUGAAGGCUUCGGGUCGUAAAGGCACUGUUGUAUGGGAAGAACAGCUAGA